RNAcentral lists this transfer RNA (66 nucleotides) under Diplodiscus nigromaculati. RNAcentral describes it as "tRNA-Cys". Lineage: Eukaryota; Metazoa; Platyhelminthes; Trematoda; Plagiorchiida; Diplodiscidae. The record is from RNAcentral.
GGGUGCGAGCACGUUGGUGUAUUUAACCUUGCAAAGGUUAAAUAGAGUUGGGAAACUCCGCAUCUU